This 338-nucleotide long non-coding RNA is filed under the name Musa acuminata (dwarf banana). Its description in RNAcentral is "long non-coding RNA (MACU_LNC006767)". Lineage: Eukaryota; Viridiplantae; Streptophyta; Magnoliopsida; Zingiberales; Musaceae. The record is from RNAcentral.
UUGCUGUGCAGCACGAAGCGUGUGCUCUGAGAGCACCAUAUAUGAUAUCACGGGAAUCACACCUCAGCUUACAUAUGUCCGUCAUCAAGCAUCCCAUGACUCGAAAUUUCGAACAUUUCUUAAGAAGAUACGGCAAUCAAUGGAGAAAACGUAGAAUGUCGAUCAACACAGGGAAAAGGAUAGUUACUUUAAUCGUCCAAAGACGGGCAGCUGCGGCUCGAGAUGAUUCGUAUUACCACAGCGUACCGAAAGCCCAGCCUCGAUCGUCGCAAGCCGGGCCGAUGGGCCGAACACCAUGAAAUUUAUCAGGGUGACGUUGCCCUCUCGCGUGGGGCCCA